This 82-nucleotide transfer RNA is filed under the name Danio rerio (zebrafish). RNAcentral describes it as "tRNA-Ser (CGA) (tRNA-Ser-CGA-15-1)". It matches the Rfam family "tRNA". Rfam says of the family: Transfer RNA (tRNA) molecules are approximately 80 nucleotides in length. Their secondary structure includes four short double-helical elements and three loops (D, anti-codon, and T loops). Lineage: Eukaryota; Metazoa; Chordata; Actinopteri; Cypriniformes; Danionidae. The record is from Rfam by way of RNAcentral.
GUAGUCGUGGCCGAGUGGUUAAGGCGAUGGUCUCGAAAUCCAUUGGGGUUUCCCCACGCAGGUUCGAAUCCUGCCGACUACG